CCCUUUGAUACUCCGGGCGGCACGCGCGCUACACUGGUUUAUAUAACGUGUAAUUUGGACGAUAGUCUGUAUAAAUCACUAAUAUAAAACCGUGAAUGGGAUAGUUUAUUGCAACUUACAAACUUUAACUAGGAAUCCCUUGUAGAAGUAGUGAAUUAUACUGCUUCGAAUACGUCCCUGCCGAUUGUACACACCGCCCGUCGUUUCUUCCGACUGGUACUCAUUGUGAAUUGCGAGGAGAUUCUGUCAAAUCGUUGUAAAUGCUGGGUAUUGGAGGAAGAAAAAGUCGUAACA
RNAcentral lists this ribosomal RNA (294 nucleotides) under uncultured eukaryote. Its description in RNAcentral is "partial 18S ribosomal RNA". It matches the Rfam family "Eukaryotic small subunit ribosomal RNA", at positions 1470 to 1796 of the family's 1831-position model. The record is from RNAcentral.